RNAcentral lists this transfer RNA (69 nucleotides) under Podarcis lilfordi (Lilford's wall lizard). RNAcentral's name for it is "tRNA.Lys". The stretch from base 4 to 61 matches the Rfam family "tRNA", at positions 8 to 63 of the family's 71-position model. Rfam says of the family: Transfer RNA (tRNA) molecules are approximately 80 nucleotides in length. Their secondary structure includes four short double-helical elements and three loops (D, anti-codon, and T loops). Further hydrogen bonds mediate the characteristic L-shaped molecular structure. tRNAs have two regions of fundamental functional importance: the anti-codon, which is responsible for specific mRNA codon recognition, and the 3' end, to which the tRNAs corresponding amino acid is attached (by aminoacyl-tRNA synthetases). tRNAs cope with the degeneracy of the genetic code in two manners: having more than one tRNA (with a specific anti-codon) for a particular amino acid; and 'wobble' base-pairing, i.e. permitting non-standard base-pairing at the 3rd anti-codon position. The record is from RNAcentral. Lineage: Eukaryota; Metazoa; Chordata; Lepidosauria; Squamata; Lacertidae.
GGAUAGCUCAGUCAGUAGAGCAUGAGACUCUUAAUCUCAGGGUUGCAGGUUUGAGCCCCACGUUGUGCA